AAUCCCUAGAUUCGUUCCCCACGCACGCUGCCUAGGGCUCCCUCCGGUCGAUCCCACGCCGUCCCACCGCCGCCCUACACCGCCCGGGGCUACCGCUGGUCGAUCUCGGCGCCGUAUCACCGCCGCCCCAUGCCGCCAUGCCUCUACAGCGCCGCGCCAUGCUGCGCUGCCUCUGCAGGGCCGCUCCACGCCGUCCUGCCCCUUCACCGCAGCCCAACGUCGUCCUGCCUCUCCACUGCCAGCCCAACGCCUUCCUGCUCUCUCUCCGGGUGGCCGCCUACCUCCACGGCCACAUCCAACACAGUUGUCGCCUUCCUCCCUGGCCCGACCUCCCCCAUGUCCGGGUGGCGGCGAUUUGGACCAGGGCAGCGUGCGGCUGGGCAAGGGCAUCGAUGCGGUUGAGGGAAAGGAGUGCUCCGGCGGCGGGGAACGGGGGGCUCCGGCGGUGGGAAACGAGUAGAUGUUCCAGUGGACAAGGCACCUCAUGCUUUUAUUAUCCACUGGUUCUCCGGUUUGCUGUGUACUGCUGCUAGCUAGUCUGAUUGUGAGAAGCUUUAUGGCAGGGAUAUGAACUAAUUUUAUAAGUUGAGCUGUUGUGUGCAAAUUUCGUUUAUUUCCCUUGCAAAUUUUGUAGUACCAUUAUGAACUAAUCUUUUUUUUUCCAUUGGUCAUUAGUUCAUCUUUCACUAAGAGUCAUGUUUUUGGUGUUACUCUUGUUAUCCUUCUAUCCAAGAUAAGUUAUGUUUGCUCUUCCAAAAAGUUCCCUAGAUAUGUUUACUGUUUUGUGCUUAGUCUGCCAUGAUGUGUUUAGUCUGCCACCGUGUUUAGUGUCACUUUGUGCUUGAUAAGAGGAUUGUUCAAAUGUAAGAACUUUCUUUUUACAUGAGAUGACAUGGCUUCCGCCCCCUGUUUCCGCUGACUUGGUUUCUGCAGGUAGCAUAGAGUAUAACUGUUGGUAACAUUGGGUCGACGAGGAGAAGUAGCAGGAGGAAAAAUGACAAGCGCAAGUGGAAGCGGAAAAGCUAAAUGUGGUGGGGUCAUGAAGGAACAACUGAAAGCGGUAGAGUAUGAACUACAGAGAAGUAGGACCAUUGAAGAAAAUGAUAAAUGGCUGGCAGCGGCACGAGCAACAAUGACUUCUAUGCAGGAAGAUAUGGAAGCAAACCGCUUUGAGCUUUGUUAUCAACAGUUCACACACAAAAUGGAAGGAUUGGAAGUCAGAUUUAAAGAGGCAUAAGUUUGAUGCCGCGCUGAUUGAUGCACAACUUAUGAAAAGACAUGAGAGUAGAAUUAGUGAAGCUGACUGAAAGAACCUUAUUACUUACUGGAGAUCUUCGGUAUUUGAAGAAUGGCUAAAGAUACACGCCCUUUUUAAAUUCCUAGAAGGGCACCCCUUCUCCUGUCAGUGAUGUUCAAGCUGGAGAAUGUUCUCCAAUGAGAUGAAGAAUGAAGGAUUUGAUGUCAAGAGAAGGAUGCAAUGAUGUAUUGUAGAAAACAAAGCGAUGAACUUUUUCUCUCAGAUAGUGAACUAUCAUGUUUCCUCUAUUUAAUUUGUUACAUUAGUUUAUUUAUAGGAAACUUGGUUGGUCAUUAGUUCAUAACAAUUGAACUAUUUAUAUGUGAAAAUUAAUGAAUGUGUGUGACUA
Long non-coding RNA from Aegilops tauschii subsp. strangulata, 1646 nucleotides. RefSeq lists it as uncharacterized. The record is from RefSeq and is a predicted model, not a curated record. NCBI's taxonomy places the organism in Eukaryota, Viridiplantae, Streptophyta, Magnoliopsida, Poales, Poaceae.